UAAAUUCAGCGGGUAGCCCCGCCUGACCUGGGGUCGCAACGGUAUUGAGUUGCAACGAGGCAACGUCACAGGGUCCUGCGAGCUCUCGGUGGCAAGGGGCUGCGCGACAUAAAGCUGAAUAAACUCCACCUAUUGCCGCGGCAGCUCGAUGCCUUGGGCUCCAAUUUUAGGCCAACCGCGCCCGGUGAGGCACGGGAAGCCAUCAUCCUUCCCCUCCCCACUCGAGGUGGGUGUGGGGGAGACGCGAUGCGUGACGCCCAGGCAGACGUGCCCUCAGCCGAAGCUUCGGGCGCAACUUGCGUUCAAAGACUCGAUGGUUCACGGGAUUCUGCAAUUCACACCAAGUAUCGCAUUUCGCUACGUUCUUCAUCGAUGCGAGAGCCGAGAUAUCCGUUGCCGAGAGUCGUUUAUUGUUAAGACAUGGCACCACGCCCCUAGCACCGGCUAACCGGGCACGGAGCGCGAGCACACAUUGAGUUUAUGUUCCUUGACGCUUUACGCGCCGGGGUACGUUGAUUUGCCAGGGGAACGGCCCACGAGGGGUCGCACCGAGGCGUGGGGGAGGGCGAGGAGGCGCACGAGGCACCCGCAACGACCCCGUCCCACACAUAAGUAAACGGGUUCUCGGGUCGUUCUGCUAGGCAGGUUUCGACAAUGAUCCUUCCGCAGGUUCACCUACG
Molecule: unclassified non-coding RNA, 680 nt
Filed under: Caryophyllaceae sp. EM423
Lineage: Eukaryota; Viridiplantae; Streptophyta; Magnoliopsida; Caryophyllales; Caryophyllaceae
Description: sequence contains ITS1, 5.8S rRNA gene, ITS2
Source: RNAcentral